GAUGAACGCUGGCGGCGUGCUUAACACAUGCAAGUCGAGGGGCAGCAUUUUAGUUUGCUUGCAAACUAAAGAUGGCGACCGGCGCACGGGUGAGUAACACGUAUCCAACCUGCCGAUAACUCGGGGAUAGCCUUUCGAAAGAAAGAUUAAUAUCCGAUAGUAUAUUAAAACCGCAUGGUUUUACUAUUAAAGAAUUUCGGUUAUCGAUGGGGAUGCGUUCCAUUAGUUUGUUGGCGGGGUAACGGCCCACCAAGACUACGAUGGAUAGGGGUUCUGAGAGGAAGGUCCCCCACAUUGGAACUGAGACACGGUCCAA
RNAcentral lists this ribosomal RNA (316 nucleotides) under uncultured bacterium. Its description in RNAcentral is "bacterial SSU rRNA". It matches the Rfam family "Bacterial small subunit ribosomal RNA", at positions 28 to 334 of the family's 1533-position model. The record is from RNAcentral.